Long non-coding RNA from Ochotona curzoniae (black-lipped pika), 398 nucleotides. RefSeq lists it as uncharacterized. The transcript is spliced from 3 exons. Lineage: Eukaryota; Metazoa; Chordata; Mammalia; Lagomorpha; Ochotonidae. The record is from RefSeq and is a predicted model, not a curated record.
AUGACUCGCUUUGCUGAGACACGUGUCCCCCAAGCAGAAUGAUUAGCGCUCCAGCAGAAUACGAUAUUGGUGGAUAAUCAAAAGCGGAUGGCAGAUCGUUUGGACUAAUGGGAAGCAGGGUUCACGUCAGCCUCUCUGGAAGUUCCCACGAAGAAUAAAUAAUAAAUCAACAUCCUGGUGACAGCCCUUGGUUUGACCAGCUGAGGCUAAUUUACGGUCUGUUGCAAGAUUUCUUUUGGAGUCAUCCUGAAUUCUUUUGCAAGCAAAGUUUCUGAGAGUUCUGAGACAAGACAGUUCCUAGUACCAUCAGAAGCAAAGGCAACAUAAUUCUGAAUUUGCUUUGUGAGGCUGGCAUUUGGGGAAAUGUAAUAAAUUAUUUUGAUACAUCUGCUAGUAAA